UACGUAGGGGGCAAGCGUUGUCCGGAUUUAUUGGGCGUAAAGAGCGUGUAGGCGGCCAGGUAGGUCUGCUGUGAAAACUCGAGGCUUAACCUCGAGAUGUCGGCGGAAACCAUCUGGCUAGAGUCCGGAAGAGGAGAGUGGAAUUCCAGGUGUAGCGGUGAAAUGCGUAGAUAUCUGGAAGAACACCAGUGGCGAAGGCGGUCAACUGGCCCAUAACUGACGCUCAGGCACGAAAGCGUGGGGAGCAAACAGG
This 253-nucleotide ribosomal RNA is filed under the name uncultured bacterium. Its description in RNAcentral is "partial 16S ribosomal RNA". It matches the Rfam family "Bacterial small subunit ribosomal RNA", at positions 524 to 776 of the family's 1533-position model. The record is from RNAcentral.